GAUGAACGCUAGCUACAGGCUUAACACAUGCAAGUCGAGGGGCAGCAUGGUCUUAGCUUGCUAAGGCCGAUGGCGACCGGCGCACGGGUGAGUAACACGUAUCCAACCUGCCGUCUACUCUUGGACAGCCUUCUGAAAGGAAGAUUAAUACAAGAUGGCAUCAUGAGUCCGCAUGUUCACAUGAUUAAAGGUAUUCCGGUAGACGAUGGGGAUGCGUUCCAUUAGAUAGUAGGCGGGGUAACGGCCCACCUAGUCUUCGAUGGAUAGGGGUUCUGAGAGGAAGGUCCCCCACAUUGGAACUGAGACACGGUCCAAACUCCUACGGGAGGCAGCAGUGAGGAAUAUUGGUCAAUGGGCGAGAGCCUGAACCAGCCAAGUAGCGUGAAGGAUGACUGCCCUAUGGGUGGUAAACUUCUUUUAGAAAGGAAUAAAGUCGGGUAUGGAUACCCGUUUGCAUGUACUUUAUGAAUAAGGAUCGGCUAACUCCGUG
Molecule: ribosomal RNA, 490 nt
Filed under: uncultured bacterium
Lineage: Bacteria
Description: partial 16S ribosomal RNA
Rfam family: Bacterial small subunit ribosomal RNA
Source: RNAcentral